UCGUGUUAGAGGUCUGCGUACGAAUAGGAUAGACGUUUUUAUUAUUUAAAACAUCUUUUAUGUAUGUAUGUGUGUAGACGAGAGCAGCAAACAAUCAUUCUUUAAUGUAUGUGUGUAGUCCCCAUUUCAAAUUAUUAUAAACAAUUGUCCAUCGAAUGUCCUAUAAGAUAUUCCAGGCCUGUGAUUGUACUGAAUUACAAGUUCCUGACUUGGGACAGCUGGCACAUAACAAAUUUGGAUAUAUAUAUAUAU
This 252-nucleotide long non-coding RNA is filed under the name Mytilus galloprovincialis (Mediterranean mussel). Lineage: Eukaryota; Metazoa; Mollusca; Bivalvia; Mytilida; Mytilidae. The record is from RNAcentral.